Molecule: ribosomal RNA, 115 nt
Filed under: Erinaceus europaeus (western European hedgehog)
Lineage: Eukaryota; Metazoa; Chordata; Mammalia; Eulipotyphla; Erinaceidae
Source: RNAcentral
AUCUACGACCAUAUCACCCUGAACAUACCUGAUCUCGUCUAAUCUCAGAAACUAAGUAGGGUUGGGCCUGGUUAGUACUUGGAUGGGAGACAUGAAAAUAUUUAAAAUGCAAAUU